AACGAACGCUGGCGGCGUGGAUAAGACAUGCAAGUCGAACGAGAGAAUUGCUAGCUUGCUAAUAAUUCUCUAGUGGCGCACGGGUGAGUAACACGUGAGUAACCUGCCCCCGAGAGCGGGAUAGCCCUGGGAAACUGGGAUUAAUACCGCAUAGUAUCGAAAGAUUAAAGCAGCAAUGCGCUUGGGGAUGGGCUCGCGGCCUAUUAGUUAGUUGGUGAGGUAACGGCUCACCAAGGCGAUGACGGGUAGCCGGUCUGAGAGGAUGUCCGGCCACACUGGAACUGAGACACGGUCCAGACACCUACGGGUGGCAGCAGUCGAGAAUCAUUCACAAUGGGGGAAACCCUGAUGGUGCGACGCCGCGUGGGGGAAUGAAGGUCUUCGGAUUGUAAACCCCUGUCAUGUGGGAGCAAAUUAAAAAGAUAGUACCACAAGAGGAAGAGACGGCUAACUCUGUGCCAGCAGCCGCGGUAAUACAGAGGUCUCAAGCGUUGUUCGGAAUCACUGGGCGUAAAGCGUGCGUAGGCUGUUUCGUAAGUCGUGUGUGAAAGGCGCGGGCUCAACCCGCGGACGGCACAUGAUACUGCGAGACUAGAGUAAUGGAGGGGGAACCGGAAUUCUCGGUGUAGCAGUGAAAUGCGUAGAUAUCGAGAGGAACACUCGUGGCGAAGGCGGGUUCCUGGACAUUAACUGACGCUGAGGCACGAAGGCCAGGGGAGCGAAAAAGAUUAGAUACCCCUGUAGUCCUGGCAGUAAACGGUG
Molecule: ribosomal RNA, 762 nt
Filed under: uncultured bacterium
Lineage: Bacteria
Description: bacterial SSU rRNA
Rfam family: Bacterial small subunit ribosomal RNA
Source: RNAcentral